CCAAGCAGCUCGGUACCCGGCUAGCUGAAGUGACAGGCGGCAGCCACGGACACCCCGGGGACGGACACCAGAGGGAGGACAGGCGACAGGCACCCCCAAGCGAGCGGGGAACCCCCUGGGAGGGGCCCGCAUGACACACGGGUCUCAGCCCCGCGACCAGCAGGCGGAGGAGAGACGGGAUUUGGGGGCCGAGAUCGGGGAGCCGGGGCACCGCGGAGGCAUGGGCUCUCUCCCCUCCACCUCCCUUUGAGGACAGAGCAUUCUUCCUGCAGCGGGGCCAGCCAACCACUCCCCCCCCCCCCCAAAUGGGGUGGAUUAUCUAUUUAGAUGUAAGGAAUUCAAAUGUUUGUACAACACCGACAUUCUAAGGCAGCACUGUCUAGCAGUUACAAGACUCCUAUCUAGGAAUGAAGUCUCAUCUCCUGAAAAAGGACCAACUGAUACAAAGGCUGCUGCCCUCUUAACCUAGCAACAAAGGUUACCAUGGACACAUCACCUUGGUGUUCCACUCUGCACUGACUCCCCAUAGAACACCGAGUCCAGUUCAGGAAUUGCUAACGUUCAAAGACCUCUCUGCUUUAUGGGACUGUCCUGAGCUACCAGUGAGAUCACCUCUCCCUUUGCACCCUCGACCAUCCACAACAGCUGAGUUCUACCAGAAUCAUGAAACUAUCAGUGAGUAAAGGGAGUCUCACAAGGGCUGGACACAGAAUUUUCACUUUUUCAUAGGAGCUGGACCUACACUAUUGAACUCACUCCUACU
This is a non-coding RNA of Chrysemys picta bellii (western painted turtle), 763 nucleotides long. The record is from RefSeq and is a predicted model, not a curated record. Lineage: Eukaryota; Metazoa; Chordata; Testudines; Emydidae.